This is a long non-coding RNA of Apis florea (little honeybee), 132 nucleotides long. The record is from RefSeq and is a predicted model, not a curated record. NCBI's taxonomy places the organism in Eukaryota, Metazoa, Arthropoda, Insecta, Hymenoptera, Apidae.
AAUUUUUCCAUAAAAAAAAUAACGAGGCUUCCUGAGAGAUGGAAAAAACUGAUAGAGCAGAACGGUUUAUAUAUAACGCAAUAAAUCAAUCUUAAACAACAAAUAUCGUGUCAAUUCAUUUCGUAUCAAAAA